Molecule: long non-coding RNA, 801 nt
Organism: Pogoniulus pusillus (Red-fronted tinkerbird)
Lineage: Eukaryota; Metazoa; Chordata; Aves; Piciformes; Lybiidae
Exons: 5
Source: RefSeq, a predicted model, not a curated record
CCUGUCCAAGUGUAGGUGAAUGUAGCACAGCCUUCUGCUGUGGUAGCCACUCCAUCCAGUUUGGUAUCAUCCUUCCUACAGGACAAAUUCUAGCUGCUAUACAGUCCUAAGCCUGAAUUCCCAGAGCUGAUGUUCAUGACAAAUUUCCUGGCACAUCUCCAAUCCUCCAAGCUAGCCUGAGCAUAAGGCAAAGUCUGGGAGUAACUGUCUGCUUGUAUACAAGACAAAAAACUACAGCAGCAGUGGCCCAGCUCCUGCAUUGCAAAGUCAGUGAGGCCAUUCUUUGAAAACAUAUCCAGAAUCCAGGACCAGCAGGACUCUGCACAAUGGAAGUUGAGGCUCAUGUGUGCAAAAGCAGACAGCCAGGAAGCAGCUGGAGGAAGGAGGCAGUAUGGAUGAUGCUCACACUGUGUUCCAGCACUUGCCACCCAGUUUCAUUAGCCUCUGCAGCCUUUACACAGGUCUAUCAGUCUUUCUGUGGGGAUUCAUAAGUAGGUAGCAGAGUUUUCCUUCCAACUGCUUUUGGCUUUUAAUGAGAGAUGCUAACUAGGCUUUAAGUGUCUCUGAAUGCUUCUCUUCACGAUUCCUUAAACAGAAGGUCAUUUUCCAGAAUGCUCUGGAUUCAGAGAUAUCCUCAUGGGAAAAGUGAUGCUGAUCCCAGCUGCUGAGCACUGCAAGUCCCUCAAAAUCUAUUGAGAUUUUCAGUCGGUGUUGUCGCUUCUGGUGCACAGAAACAUACAAUGAUGAGGGAAAUAGACAAGAUGUAGUUUCUCCUGUGAAUAAACAUGGUUUCUUUUUAGU